Molecule: long non-coding RNA, 135 nt
Organism: Drosophila navojoa
Lineage: Eukaryota; Metazoa; Arthropoda; Insecta; Diptera; Drosophilidae
Source: RefSeq, a predicted model, not a curated record
UUAACAACUUUGGGCAUCUAUGUAUGUCCAUUCAAAUGAUCUUAUAUUGAAGCAAGCUGGUGUGGUUCAAAUGUGUUUCUGAAAAUGAAAUCUAGUUCUGGUCCUAUCUGUCAAAAAGAGGCACCGCCUUAAAUU